UACGUAGGUGGCGAGCGUUGUCCGGAUUUAUUGGGUUUAAAGGGUGCGUAGGCGGCCCUAUAAGUCAGUGGUGAAAUAUCGCAGCUUAACUGUGAGGGUGCCAUUGAUACUGUAGGGCUUGAGUGAAUUUAAGGUAGGCGGAAUUGACGGUGUAGCGGUGAAAUGCUUAGAUAUCGUCAAGAACACCGAUAGUGAAGACAGCUUACCAAGCUUCAACUGACGCUGAGGCACGAAAGUGUGGGGAUCAAACAGG
Molecule: ribosomal RNA, 253 nt
Filed under: uncultured bacterium
Lineage: Bacteria
Description: partial 16S ribosomal RNA
Rfam family: Bacterial small subunit ribosomal RNA
Source: RNAcentral